RNAcentral lists this ribosomal RNA (253 nucleotides) under uncultured bacterium. RNAcentral describes it as "partial 16S ribosomal RNA". It matches the Rfam family "Bacterial small subunit ribosomal RNA", at positions 524 to 776 of the family's 1533-position model. The record is from RNAcentral.
UACGGAGGAUCCAAGCGUUAUCCGGAUUUAUUGGGUUUAAAGGGUGCGUAGGCGGAUUGAUAAGUUAGAGGUGAAAUGUCCGAGCUCAACUCGGGAACUGCCUCUAAUACUGUUGAUCUAGAGAGUAAAUGCAGUAGGCGGAAUGUAUGGUGUAGCGGUGAAAUGCUUAGAGAUCAUACAGAACACCGAUUGCGAAGGCAGCUUACCAAUCUAUAUCUGACGUUGAGGCACGAAAGCGUGGGGAGCAAACAGG